GAAUAUUAAUAUCAUCUGCGACAUUGGCCUUACACUUAACCAUUAUACUUUUGUACACUAUAAAUUAUAUCCCCUAUCAAUACACACUAAUAAUGUCAUCAAACUCUCUUCACCAAUUCUAAAUCCAUGUAAAUUAUUAUAUAACCCAACAAUACGCACUAAUAAGCUUAUAUGGUAAAAGUUGUAAUUUAUAAAUAUGAGAGGUGAAUGAAUCUUGUUAGCACAUCAAAUAAAACACUCAAUCAACAAUUAUAAUAAUACCAAACAAAACCCAUGAUACCCAUGUCUCAUUACUGUUGGUGGACUACAGAGAUAGCCUGAGAAUGACUCACAAUGGGCUGACGGGAGCUGAGUGGGUUGUGAAUCUGCAGCCGCAGAUCCUUGCAGCCAAUGGAGAUCAAUCGCCGCAUGUCGUCACCUGAUAGUGCCGCCGUUGAUGGCCCUGAUGAGGUGUCUCGUGAGGGAGUGCAGGCGAGGGAGUGAAUGAUGAGGGAGAGGGAGCCAUGAGCCGUGAGGGUGAGUGAAGAGGGAGAGAGAGAGAGGGAGUCGUGAGCC
Molecule: long non-coding RNA, 555 nt
Filed under: Citrus maxima (pomelo)
Lineage: Eukaryota; Viridiplantae; Streptophyta; Magnoliopsida; Sapindales; Rutaceae
Description: long non-coding RNA (CMAX_LNC004188)
Source: RNAcentral